RNAcentral lists this ribosomal RNA (460 nucleotides) under uncultured bacterium. Its description in RNAcentral is "partial 16S ribosomal RNA". It matches the Rfam family "Bacterial small subunit ribosomal RNA", at positions 338 to 795 of the family's 1533-position model. The record is from RNAcentral.
CCUACGGGAGGCAGCAGUGAGGAAUCUUGGUCAAUGGACGAGAGUCUGAACCAGCAACGUAGCGUGAAGGAUGACUGCCCUAUGGUUUGUAAACUUCUUUUAUAUGGGAAUAAAAUGUUCCUCGUGUGUGACUUUUUUUUUACCAUAUUAAUUUGGAUAGGCUAACUCCGCGCCAGCAGCCGCGGUAAUACGGAGGGUCCGAGCGUUAUCCGGAUUUAUUGGGUUUAAAGGGAGCGUCGGGUGGUUGUUAAGUCAGUUGUGAAAGUUUACGGCUCAACCGUAAAAUUGUAGUUGAAACUGGCAGUCUUGAGUACAGGAGAGGUGAGCGGAAUUCGUGGUGUAGCGGUGAAAUGCUUAGAUAUCACGAAGAACUCCGAUUGCGAAGGCAGAUCACUGGACUGCAACUGACACUGAGGCUCGAAAGUGUGGGUAUCAAACAGGAUUAGAUACCCGGGUAGUC